CAGCAGUCGCCCGGUAACACGAAGGGUGCAAGCGUUACUCGGAAUUACUGGGCGUAAAGCGUGCGUAGGUGGUGGUUUAAGUCCGUUGUGAAAGCCCUGGGCUCAACCUGGGAAUUGCAGUGGAUACUGGGUCACUAGAGUGUGGUAGAGGAUAGUGGAAUUUCCGGUGUAGCAGUGAAAUGCGUAGAGAUCGGAAGGAACAUCUGUGGCGAAGGCGACUAUCUGGGCCAACACUGACACUGAGGCACGAAAGCGUGGGGAGCAAACAGGAUUAGAUACCCCCGUAGUCCCUGUCUCUUAUACA
This 304-nucleotide ribosomal RNA is filed under the name uncultured bacterium. RNAcentral's name for it is "partial 16S ribosomal RNA". It matches the Rfam family "Bacterial small subunit ribosomal RNA", at positions 509 to 808 of the family's 1533-position model. The record is from RNAcentral.